Molecule: microRNA precursor, 82 nt
Filed under: Ovis aries (sheep)
Lineage: Eukaryota; Metazoa; Chordata; Mammalia; Artiodactyla; Bovidae
Description: miRNA (ENSOARG00000022867.1)
Source: RNAcentral
UGGGUUGGCCAAAAAAUUCCUCUGGGUUUGUUCAGAAGAUGUUACAGGAAAAACAGAGUGAACUUUUUGGCCAAACUCAUAU